GGUGAGUUUUGCCAUGGCGCCCGUGGAGCUGCCCCGAGGCUGAGCAGCGCCCGGCCCAGCCCUGGGGCCCUUUUUCCUCCCUCUGGGGCCCUGGGGAUGUUGUUGCUGCCUCUGGCUCAGGUGCAGGAUGGGCGAGCGACUGGAGCUGCAGACUAGGAGGGGAGGAAAAGACAGACAGACAGAAGUGCCUGAACUCCACAGCUUGCCUGGCAGUGCAGAGAGCAGGAACUGUGGAGUAUUGCUCUGUGAGCCUGGAAACCUCUCUGGUCUGUGCUUGACUCCAGGCCAUGGCACUGGCAGAGUUGAUGGAGCUUCUCAGCUGGAUCCUGGUUAUGAGCCUUGGGCUGUCCCAGAGGUGACUGAGGAAGAAGGAGAUCACAACAUGCCAUGGAAGCUCCUCCCCUGUGUUUGACUCCCUGUUUGGUUCCUGCAGUCCAUGGUGAUCAAGCCUCUUGGUGUAAUCCUGUUCCUGAGCCUGGGGGCAAUCCCAGGGCCGUCCCUGUAGGCAGCGGCUACUUGACUUCUUGACUUGAGUCUGUCCGUGAGCCUCGGGGCGAUCCCACAGUGAAGUUCUCAGUGUGCCAGAGCAUCUGGGAGACCUCUGACCCUUUCCUGGACCUGGUGCUGGAGAUCAG
This is a long non-coding RNA of Columba livia (rock pigeon), 635 nucleotides long. RefSeq lists it as uncharacterized. The transcript is spliced from 6 exons. Lineage: Eukaryota; Metazoa; Chordata; Aves; Columbiformes; Columbidae. The record is from RefSeq and is a predicted model, not a curated record.